RNAcentral lists this ribosomal RNA (499 nucleotides) under uncultured bacterium. Its description in RNAcentral is "partial 16S ribosomal RNA". It matches the Rfam family "Bacterial small subunit ribosomal RNA", at positions 899 to 1397 of the family's 1533-position model. The record is from RNAcentral.
ACUCAAAUGAAUUGACGGGGGCCCGCACAAGUGGUGGAGCAUGUGGUUUAAUUCGACGCUACGCGAAGAACCUUACCUGGGUUUGACAUCUAUGGGAAGGCGCUAGAGAUAGUGUCCGUCCUUCGGGACUCAUAGACAGGUGCUGCAUGGCUGUCGUCAGCUCGUGCCGUGAGGUGUUGGGUUAAGUCCCGCAACGAGCGCAACCCUUAUUUUUAGUUGCCAUCGGGUAAUGCCGGGCACUCUGAAGAGACUGCCAGCACAAGCUGGAGGAAGGUGGGGAUGACGUCAAGUCAGCAUGGCCCUUACGUCCAGGGCUACACACGUGCUACAAUGGCUGGUACAGAGGGCUGCCAACCCGCGAGGGGGAGCGAAUCCCACAAAGCCAGCCUCAGUUCGGAUUGUAGGCUGCAAUUCGCCUACAUGAAGUCGGAAUCACUAGUAACCGCAGGUCAGCUACACUGCGGUGAAUGCGUUCCCGGGCCUUGUACACACCGCCCGU